RNAcentral lists this ribosomal RNA (762 nucleotides) under uncultured rumen protozoa. RNAcentral's name for it is "bacterial SSU rRNA". It matches the Rfam family "Eukaryotic small subunit ribosomal RNA", at positions 947 to 1770 of the family's 1831-position model. The record is from RNAcentral.
GUAAGCUACGUACGAGCAUGCAGAGUUCAUAUCAGACGAAGAUAGGAUCAAGAAAUCAGAUACGUCGUAGUCUUUCUUAACUAUGCGACUAGGAUGGAGGGGCUCACCACCAUUCAGUACUAUGAGAAAUCAAAGUUUUGGUCUGGGGGGAGUAUGUCGCAAGACUGAAACUUAAAGAAAUUGACGAAGGGCACCACCAGGAGUGGAGCGUGCGGCUUAAUUUGACUCAACACGGGAACUUACCAGGUCCAGACAAAAGAAAGGAUUGACAGAUGAUAGCUCUUCUGAUUCUUGGGUGGUUGUGUUUUGUCCGUUCUAGUGGUGGAGUGAUUGUCUGGUUAAUUCCGAUAACGAACGAGACCUUAACUGCUAACUAGAUUCGAUCAUCUUAUGGUCGUUAUCUUCUUAGAGGGACUAUGUAACAUAAAUACAUAGAAAAUAUGAGGCAAUAACAGGUCAGUGAUGCCCUUAUAUGUCCUGGGCUGCACGCGUGCUACACUGAUGUAUACAACAAGUGCCUAGUCGGACAUGGCAUGGCAAUCUCGAAUAUGCAUCGUGAUGGGGAUAGAUCUUUGCAAUUAUAGAUCUUGAACGAGGAAUUCCUAGUAAGUGCAAGUCAUCAUCUUGCAUUGUUUUAUGUCCCUGCCCUUUGGGCAAGAGAACGUCGCUCCUACCGAUACCGGGUGAUCCGGUGAACCUUGGACCUGCAAGGGGAAGAUAAGUAAACCAUAUCACGAUGAAGGAGAGCGACAGAAUCGGACC